RNAcentral lists this ribosomal RNA (611 nucleotides) under uncultured bacterium. Its description in RNAcentral is "bacterial SSU rRNA". It matches the Rfam family "Bacterial small subunit ribosomal RNA", at positions 68 to 711 of the family's 1533-position model. The record is from RNAcentral.
GGGGUUCGGAACUUCGGUUCCGGCUUACGUGGCGCACGGGUGAGUAACACGUGGGAAUCUGCCCAUCUAUGGGGAAUAACUGCGGGAAACUGCAGCUAAUACCGCAUACGCCCUUCGGGGGAAAGGCUUCGGCCGUAGAUGGAUGAGCCCGCGUCCGAUUAGCUAGUUGGUGGGGUAAAAGCCUACCAAGGCGACGAUCGGUAGCUGGUCUGAGAGGAUGAUCAGCCACACUGGGACUGAGACACGGCCCAGACUCCUACGGGAGGCAGCAGUGGGGAAUAUUGGACAAUGGGCGAAAGCCUGAUCCAGCAAUGCCGCGUGAGUGAUGAAGGUCUUCGGAUUGUAAAGCUCUUUCGACGGGGAAGAUAAUGACGGUACCCGUAGAAGAAGCCCCGGCUAACUUCGUGCCAGCAGCCGCGGUAAUACGAAGGGGGCUAGCGUUGUUCGGAUUUACUGGGCGUAAAGCGUGCGUAGGCGGCUUGUCAAGUCAGAAGUGAAAGCCCGGGGCUCAACUCCGGAACUGCUUUUGAGACUGGCAGGCUUGAGUUCGGGAGAGGGUAGUGGAAUUCCCAGUGUAGAGGUGAAAUUCGUAGAUAUUGGGAAGAACACCG